Molecule: long non-coding RNA, 2903 nt
Filed under: Sus scrofa (pig)
Lineage: Eukaryota; Metazoa; Chordata; Mammalia; Artiodactyla; Suidae
Description: lncRNA (ENSSSCG00005006707.1)
Source: RNAcentral
AGAGCAGAUGGGGACUUGGCGUGAGAUAUUUCAAGUAGUACAUUUACUUUUGUCACUGACUCUUAUGUAAUAGACUACAGAGUAAAUUCAAAGGUGUCGAAGAGAAAGGGCCACUGUGCUGUGUGUGUGUAUUGUGAAAUCAGCCCUUUUGUAAAUCCUGCAUGGUCAGAAGCUCCCCGAGGGUGAGAAAGAUCAUCUUGUUGAGCCACGGAGCUUCAGCUCUUAGCCUAACCUCUGACUUUUGGCACUUCUCUGAUUGAGUGAUGCUUACCCAGAUCAUGACAGCCGACCAACAGAAAAUUGAGGUGUUUUAUUUAUUUUUUUAAAGCAAAGCUGUAUCUCAUUACAUCUUUGAUCUUCAGGUAGGCAGUCUGAUGUUUCAGGGGCCAUUCCUAGGUUGCUGGUCGAUGGCUUUACUUUUUUUCUGUAGUUAGCUUCUCAGUCAGGGAAACAGUGGCUGAGCCUGGAGUCUCGUCUGGUGUUACUUGAUAUUUCGGUGAAUCUCACAACCAUGUAGGGGAUGAUUGAUUGUUGCUGUAGUUUCCACAACCCCAGUUUUCCAGAUAAGAAUGCUGGGAACCAAGAAGAUGUAAUGACUUGCCCAAGGUCAUCCAGCUAGUAAGCCCUGCAGCGUGCACCCCCCCACCCCCUCUGCCCCAGGCAGACUCCCUGCUCCCAUCAAGCCUGCUUUUCUCGGAGCCCACGCUUGCCUUAGAGUUGUUUUAUUAGCUCAAAAUGUUCCCAGUGUUUAGCUUUCCUAGGGGACCUCUUUUUAGGUGAAAGAGCCGCGACGAACACCCCUCCACCAGUCUGUGGACAAACAGUCCCAUAAACCCCACUGGCAGUGUUUAAUUUGUGGGAAAUGUCAGCUGCCAUUUCCUGUGGAGAAAGCCUCGUGGCCUAGGGCUUAGCACGCCUGGAUCCACCUCCUAGCCUUUCCUCUGGAAGCAGGAGAGCGAAGUGAAGGCUAGGAAGUCAAAAGAAUGGGUAGUUCCCAUGGUGGCUCAGUAGUUAAUGAAUCUGACUGGGAACCAUGAGGUUGCAGGUUUGAUCCCUGCCCUUGCUCAGUGGGUUAACGAUCCGGUGUUGCCGUGAGCUAUGGAUGCGGCUCGGAUCCUGCACUGCUGUGGUUCUGGUGUAGGCUAGCAGCUGUAGCUGCGAUUUGACUCCUAGCCUGGGAACCUCCAUAUGCCGCAGGAGCGGCCCAAGAAUGGAUCAGCGUUGCUGUGAGCUGUGUGUAGGUCGCAGACACGGCUCAGAUCUGGUGUGGUUUUGGUGUAGGCUGGGGGCUACAGCUUGGAUUCAGCCCCUAGCCUGGGAACCUCCAUAUGCCACAGGUGCGGCCCUAAAAAGCAGACCCCCCCCCCACAAAAAAAAACCAAGUACAUGUGUGACUUUUGGCUCUUCAAAAGCUUCAUGACUGUAGUUGGAUUUGGGAAAGACAAGAAUCCUGGCAGACCUCUCUAAGAGUCAGUGAGCCUGCCCGCUUGUGCAGAAUCCAGGGUUGAGGGCACUGGUGAUCUGGGGGGGCAGGGGCAGUGACUUUUGCUGAAGGCCUGCCUUUGCACGUGGGGUUUAGAGCGUGCACGUUAAAAGCCAAAAGUUCUCUUUGUUGCUUCUGUUCUCAGUAGUACUUUUAUUUUUUCUUUCUUUUUUUUUUUUUCUAGUGGUACUUUUUUAGCCGGUAGCUAGAAGGGAGUCCUUGACCCAUGGCUUUUUAAAGGAACGUUGCACAGAACUCUAGCAAUUAGAAAGCAUUCCUUGAUUCACAUGGUACCUGACAAGAGGAGACUCUAUGCAGAAAUUCUAGUUUUAUCUCUUCUGGAGGCUAGUGAGCAUAUUACGUGUGACAAGCUUUUCCUGAGUCAGUUCUGUCACCGUUAUGGUACAAGUCUCACAGUUUCAGAGCUCGAAUGGCCUAGGAGUAAUCACCUCCUCAAAACCUUAGGAGGUAUUAUCGAAUGGGAAAUUCAAGUGAAAUUCUCUUGGGUUUUAGCCAGACUGCUGUAUUAAAAAAAAAAAAAAAAAUCAACUGUCAACAGAAGUGCCCCACCCCCCUCCCCAUUCUCUUGUGCAGUGUGGAGCUGUACGGGGCCACCCUGACCCUGCUCCCUACUGUGUCACAGGCACCAAGGUGACCAGAUGAAAAAUGCAUAAGUACUUGAUCCAGGUAGCUGGCCCUUUGCAUGAAAGCACACUCAGGAGAGUGCUCUUGACCCUUGACCUCGAGGAACGCACAUGUAAGGGGAAGUUUUCAGGAACUAGGGCUCGAGAUUGAGGUCAGUCAUCCACAGGCCUUUGCUUCUUUCCCAGACCAAAUCCUGUAUGUUCUGAGUGAUGAGUGCGUCCCCCUCCCCGCCCGCUCGCCCCCUUGGUGUUUUGCUCCAAGACAAUCAGACCAGCCCUCGUGCUCUUUGUGAACAGUCAAAUUACGUUCUGUUUCCAUAGGCUUUUCAGGAGGGUUUCAGCACUUCGAGUUUAUUGGCCUCUUUUGAAAAUGCUUUUCUCCUUAUUGGGGAUGCCACCCCCAAAUAGUGCACUCCCAAGUGCUCAUAUUAGCGUGGGAACAGCUGCCUAGUUUGCGCUGCCUUUUCAGUUAUUUCAUGAGACUUCUUAAAGAAGUCGGUACUAGCUAAAGAGCAGGUACUGUUGGAGUUCCCGUCAUGGCUCAGUGGCUAAUGAAUCCAACUAGGAACCAUGAGGUUGUGGGUUCGAUCCCUGGCCUUGCUCAGUGGGUUAAGGAUCUGGUGUUGCCUUGAGCUGUGGUUUAGGUUGCAGACAUGGCUCGGAUCACGCGUUGCUGUGGCUCUGAUUAGACUCUUAGCCUGGGAACCUCCCUAUGCCUUGGGAGCGGCCCUAGAAAAGGCAAAAAGACCAAAAAAAAAAAAAAAAAAAAAAAAAAA